RNAcentral lists this ribosomal RNA (559 nucleotides) under Escherichia coli. RNAcentral's name for it is "bacterial SSU rRNA". It matches the Rfam family "Bacterial small subunit ribosomal RNA", at positions 1 to 549 of the family's 1533-position model. Lineage: Bacteria; Pseudomonadati; Pseudomonadota; Gammaproteobacteria; Enterobacterales; Enterobacteriaceae. The record is from RNAcentral.
AAAUUGAAGAGUUUGAUCAUGGCUCAGAUUGAACGCUGGCGGCAGGCCUAACACAUGCAAGUCGAACGGUAACAGGAAACAGCUUGCUGUUUCGCUGACGAGUGGCGGACGGGUGAGUAAUGUCUGGGAAACUGCCUGAUGGAGGGGGAUAACUACUGGAAACGGUAGCUAAUACCGCAUAACGUCGCAAGACCAAAGAGGGGGACCCUCGGGCCUCUUGCCAUCGGAUGUGCCCAGAUGGGAUUAGCUUGUUGGUGGGGUAACGGCUCACCAAGGCGACGAUCCCUAGCUGGUCUGAGAGGAUGACCAGCCACACUGGAACUGAGACACGGUCCAGACUCCUACGGGAGGCAGCAGUGGGGAAUAUUGCACAAUGGGCGCAAGCCUGAUGCAGCCAUGCCGCGUGUAUGAAGAAGGCCUUCGGGUUGUAAAGUACUUUCAGCGGGGAGGAAGGGAGUAAAGUUAAUACCUUUGCUCAUUGACGUUACCCGCAGAAGAAGCACCGGCUAACUCCGUGCCAGCAGCCGCGGUAAUACGGAGGGUGCAAGCGUUAAUCGGA